Molecule: ribosomal RNA, 369 nt
Filed under: uncultured cyanobacterium
Lineage: Bacteria; Bacillati; Cyanobacteriota
Description: bacterial SSU rRNA
Rfam family: Bacterial small subunit ribosomal RNA
Source: RNAcentral
GGCCUCUGGGCUGUAAACCUCUUUUCUCAAGGAAGAAGAUCUGACGGUACUUGAGGAAUAAGCCACGGCUAAUUCCGUGCCAGCAGCCGCGGUAAUANCGGGAGUGGCAAGCGUUAUCCGGAAUUAUUGGGCGUAAAGCGUCCGCAGGCGGCCUUUCAAGUCUGCUGUUAAAGNCGUGGAGCUUAACUCCAUUAAGGCAGUGGAAACUGUUGGGCUUGAGUGUGGUAGGGGCAGAGGGAAUUCCCGGUGUAGCGGUGAAAUGCGUAGAUAUCGGGAAGAACACCAGUGGCGAAGGCGCUCUGCUGGGCCAUAACUGACGCUCAUGGACGAAAGCCAGGGGAGCGAAAGGGAUUAGAUACCCCUGUAGUC